GCUAAUGAUGAGAGACAGCUGUCAUUAAUUUUCAAUGAAGGUACACUCCUAUAGUCUUCCCUCCACAUAGUAGAAUGUUAGAGAACUUGUCCUGGCUGUGAUUGCAAUGGAGAGCUGAAACACAGAGAAGCUGAAAGUAGACUGUGAAGAUGUCUUUUGUGAAGUAGAUCACACCUUUUCAGCCAAUGGAAAGUAAACACAUUUUACUGAAUGGUGAUAAAAUAAAUAAAAGUGAAGGCUGGGUUCAAUCACUUACAAGAACUGCUGGUUAAGGGAACAAGGCGUUUCUAAGGGGAAAUCUACUACAUUAUACCAGUACAAAUCAGCCAAUUCUUCCUUAAUAAAAAUGUACUGCUACUGGCCAAUUGUACACUGCUGUCUCACCUGUGGUCUUUAAAAUUUUAUUGAGAGUUUGAUAUAAAUUGUCUGACAGAGCAGUUUUGUAUUGAGGAGAAACUUCAACAAACUAAAGAUCUUAAUCAGCGCAAUAUGAUCCAUGAGAAAUCCUUCAGCAAAGCUCAGUAAUCAUCAGAGAAUUAACACAGGAGAGAGGACUUUUUCAAUACUCAGAAUUUAACAAGUGCAUUUCAGAGAAGAAAUUUUUUUGCCACCAGAAGAAGAUUCAGAAAUGGAAAACAUGUUUAAAUGUUUGAAAUGUGACAAGAAUUUCUCAAGAAAGGCAUAUUUUAUUAUACAUAUGAGGGGUCACACCGGAGAGAAGCCAUUUUAAUGCUCAGAAUGUGAUAAAUGUUUCUCAUCAAACGACAGUCUUACUAAACACCAGAGAAUUCACACCGGAGAGAAACCAUAUAGUUGUUCAGAAUGUACUGAGAGCUUCUCACUAUCGGCAUCUCUUUUUUACCACCAGAAGAAGGUUCACCAAGUAGAAAAAACAUUUAAGUGCACAGAAUGUGACAAGUGUUUUUAUAUAAAGUCACAACUUAUUUCUCAUCAAAGAAGUCACACAGGAGAGAAGCCAUUCAGAUGUUCAGAAUGUGACAAAUGUUUUGCUAAAAAAUCUAA
Molecule: long non-coding RNA, 1023 nt
Organism: Rana temporaria (common frog)
Lineage: Eukaryota; Metazoa; Chordata; Amphibia; Anura; Ranidae
Exons: 3
Source: RefSeq, a predicted model, not a curated record